GUGCUUGCUUUGGCAGCACAUAUACAAAAAUGGGAACAAUACAGAGAAUAUUAACCUGGCCCCUGCAUAAGGAUGACACAGAUUUUUGAAGUGUUCCAUAUUUUU
Molecule: small nuclear RNA, 105 nt
Filed under: Dasypus novemcinctus (nine-banded armadillo)
Lineage: Eukaryota; Metazoa; Chordata; Mammalia; Cingulata; Dasypodidae
Source: RNAcentral